Piliocolobus tephrosceles (Ugandan red Colobus) is the source of this 1906-nucleotide long non-coding RNA. RefSeq lists it as uncharacterized. NCBI's taxonomy places the organism in Eukaryota, Metazoa, Chordata, Mammalia, Primates, Cercopithecidae. The record is from RefSeq and is a predicted model, not a curated record. The transcript has 3 exons.
AAUGGAAUGCUAUCUGUAGAGUACUGAAAGAAACUAAAGGCCAACAUGUGAAAAACAACCUUCAAAAAUGAACGUUAAAUGAUGACAUUUUCAGAAAAAACAAACAAACAAACAACAAAAAGAAGCAAAAAGGAAACAAAAAACCAAAAUUCACAUAAUUUAUUGCUAGGAGUUUUACACUGAAAUGCUGAAGGGAUUUCUACUAGCAAAAGUAAAAAAUGAUCUCAUUUGAAAAGAUGGAAAUUCAAGGAGGGAAUGAAGAAUAUUGGAUGGGUAAAUAUGUUGGUAACUAUAAAUGAAUAUUGACUACAAAAAAUUAUGUUGAAAAACUGAAAGAUGGAAAACACAGCCACUUGAAGGAGAAAUGUAUGGUCAAAAUGCAUGCAGGAAAAACUUCUUUAAAAGAGUUACUUCAUACUCUGGGUUGGCAGAUGCAAUAAGCAGGGGUGCAUCAAAAGUAACGGAGAAGGUGAUUAGUUGGUGUACUUCAGCAGGAGCAAUCAGAUGAAUUGACUUCUCUAUAUCCUGCUAUUAGUCACAAGCUACGCAGCAGGCUGCAGGUGGGAGCAAUGACCGUGCAUGCAUGGGUCAGUGGGCUACAUACAGUCAUGUUGACAGCAUGAACUUUCGAUGUGAUGUGAGGAAAAUGGCAUUCUACCUCUGUGUUCUUCCUCCCCAAAAUUUGUAACCACCAUCUAAUCAUGAGGAAAACAUCAUACAAGUCCAAAUUGAGGAAAAUUCUACAAAAUGCCUGAUUACUAUUCAUCAAAACUGUCAAGGUCAUCAAAAAGUAAGGAAAGUCUGAGAAACUGCCACAGUCUAAAGACAGUCCAGGGAAACAUGAUGACUCGGUGGUAUUCUGGGUGGGUUUCUGGAACGGAAAAAGGACAACAGGUACCCUGAGCCACUAUCUAAAUGGUCUGUUUAUCUUAUGAAAACACCAUAAGGAGGGAUAACAUGUGGUGAACACAGGUGAAGAGCUAGAGGCCUGAAACUAGAUGGGGAGGGAGAAGCCAGCCAUGCCAGCAUCCAGGGCUGAACUCAGACUUCCAGCAUCUGUGCAGAGGCAUCAGUCAGGCCACAGCUGACUUCAGGCCCGGCUAACAUUAUGUGGAACAGGAGAAUUGCCCAGAUCAUCCCAGUCAACCAAGAUCAUAAAAUUGUUUUCAGCUAUUAAGUUUAAAUAAAUGAAAUAAGGAGAUAAAAAAUACUGACUGGGACUCUGUCUGAAUGAAAGGAUUAGUAGAUUAGAUUAGUGAUUCUCAAAAGACUUUGCUGGAUGCACAUAAGUGUCCACAAAAUAAGAGUAUGAUGGUUUCCAGGUUCAAAUAAGAUGGUAAACUAUUUUGUGAAUCAGAAUUAAAUUGGUUUAUUUACUGUAGAACUUCUCAGAGGCUUUAACAUGUACAUUUAAUAAUAAGCAUUAUGAAAACUGCAAGAGGACAGAAAAGUUGCCUGUGACUUUUUUAAAAGUGUGUUUAUUCACAUCCUGAGGAAGGAUUCCCAGAAGAGAUGAUGUCUAAGCAGUGUCCCAACCGUGAAAUAAAGUCUUCUAGACACUGGACAAGAUCAUCUUUAAGCGUAUUUCCAGCUCCAAAUGUUAUUAUUUUCUCUAACCCAUUAUAAAAUGGCCUCUCUUAGCACUAUGAGAUCUGUAAUACAAGAAGUAGAACAAACACAUGAAGUUCCUGUUGGAAAUUCAAACUUCUCAUACAGCCUUCACUCAUUAUGGAUAAAGGCUUCUGCUUUGAGUCACCUAAGUACAUUUGACUCCAAACUUGAUAAAUGCCUUGAAGUGAAAAUAUGGUGUCAGGCAGUCCCUAUUCAUGAAACGAACCAACCAACCAAUCAACCCAUAUCAUAACUUAAUGGUGUGAGACCUCAGCAAAACUUUAUAAGAACUAAA